GAUGAACGCUGGCGGCGUGCCUAAUACAUGCAAGUCGAGCGAACAGACGAGGAGCUUGCUCCUCUAACGUUAGCGGCGGACGGGUGAGUAACACGUGGAUAACCUACCUAUAAGACUGGGAUAACUUCGGGAAACCGGAGCUAAUACCGGAUAAUAUAUUGAACCGCAUGGUUCAAUAGUGAAAGACGGUUUUGCUGUCACUUAUAGAUGGAUCCGCGCCGCAUUAGCUAGUUGGUAAGGUAACGGCUUACCAAGGCGACGAUGCGUAGCCGACCUGAGAGGGUGAUCGGCCACACUGGAACUGAGACACGGUUCAGACUCCUACGGGAGGCAGCAGUAGGGAAUCUUCCGCAAUGGGCGAAAGCCUGACGGAGCAACGCCGCGUGAGUGAUGAAGGUCUUCGGAUCGUAAAACUCUGUUAUUAGGGAAGAACAAAUGUGUAAGUAACUAUGCACGUCUUGACGGUACCUAAUCAGAAAGCCACGGCUAACUACGUG
Molecule: ribosomal RNA, 497 nt
Filed under: uncultured bacterium
Lineage: Bacteria
Description: partial 16S ribosomal RNA
Rfam family: Bacterial small subunit ribosomal RNA
Source: RNAcentral